UUUUGGCUAUAGUUCAUAUGUAAUUUUAUGUAUGGUUCAAUUUAUUUUAUGUAAUAUGCCAAAUGAAUUUUUAUUAGUAACAACUUCUUUAAUUCAUUCAGCUCCUCCAAAAUUUGAAAAUCUGUGAUUCAACAUUUUGCUUUUCCCAAAACAAUACAUAAUUUACACAAAAUUUUUGAAUUGAAUAAAACACUAAUAAAUUGCUCCUAUGCCCAAUAUAACUUACACUAAACUGUCCCAUAUCAAUUUCACUAGUGUUAUCUUUUGAAUUUAGAAAUAGAAGUUAUUAAAUGUUGGUGGCUCAUCAUGCAGUGCAUUUGAGAAGGGCAUGCUUUCAAAAUUAAGACUGUUUCCCUGAUUCCUACAGCAAAAAAAAAACUUUAAAAUGCUGGUGGCAAUAUUUUAAAGAGUGCAUCUGAUCGAAAAGAAGGUGAAUGACGUCAACUGUUCGAAAAUUCGAUUCUUGCAAAUUAGCAAGUGGAAGAAGAAGUUUACAAAGUUAUAAUUUAUAAAACUUAACACAAUUAUAUAAUAAAAAAAUUUAAAUGA
Long non-coding RNA from Hydra vulgaris (swiftwater hydra), 549 nucleotides. RefSeq lists it as uncharacterized. Lineage: Eukaryota; Metazoa; Cnidaria; Hydrozoa; Anthoathecata; Hydridae. The record is from RefSeq and is a predicted model, not a curated record.